This 1359-nucleotide long non-coding RNA is filed under the name Populus tremula. RNAcentral describes it as "long non-coding RNA (PTRE_LNC000822)". Lineage: Eukaryota; Viridiplantae; Streptophyta; Magnoliopsida; Malpighiales; Salicaceae. The record is from RNAcentral.
UUGGUGCUUCAAGGCAGUGGGAAUGUGUUCGUUGCUCGGAUCCUCUAGCGUUUGAGUCUCCUUUGCUGUCCCGAGGCUUUGUUUUCUUGCGAUGUGGCUCUUUCUUCUCCUUGGGUCGCAUUGGGAGGAUUGCCAAUUUCGUUUCUGGUAUGCCCUUCGGUUGGUGUCCGGCGACCGAGAUAGCUUUAGCUUCCCAGCUCUUCUUUGCUGCUCGAUUAUGUUUUUUCUCCUCUCUAGCUUUGUUGCCGUUGCUAUAUAAGUUUUGUUAUUUUUUCGUGCCUCCUUAUUCGAGUAACUUCUGACAUUGGUGAGUACUCUGUUUGCUGCAUUGCUUUGGCUACUUUAGGGCAAGGUUGUCAAUUUCGUUCCGUUCCGUCCGGAAUGGCCGAAACAUUCCAUACCAAUUCAAAAAACGAAACAAAACGGAACAAAUUCCAUCUCAUUUUAAAUCUCGGCCCGUUCCGGAAAUUCCGGCCAAAUUCCGGCCGAAACGUUCCGGUUUCAUUCCGGUUGUUCCGUUUCGGCCAAAAAAUAUUAUUUUUAAAAAAUUAAUAUAUGGUUUAUAUUAUUUUAAGUUAAAGAUUUAUUUAAUCUUUACUAUUUAAAAAUAUUUCAAAUUUUAAAAUUAUAUUUGUUUGGCAUUAUGUUUGUAUUGCAUAAUUUAUAAUUAAUUUAUCUUGAAUUUGAAUUAUGUUUGUGGAAUAUAUAUAUAUAUAUAUAUAUAUAUAUAUAUAUAUAUAUAUGAACAGUACAACCCCGAAACGGCACGUCGAAACAAUCCGAAACCGAAACAUUUCGUUCCAAUUGAAAAAACGAAACACCUACCGAAACGGAAUUGACAACCUUGCUUUAGGGUGCUUUGGAUCUGGUUUUUUGUUUUUCCUCAGCUCUUUUCCCUUAUUUAUUCCCCUUUCCAUUGGACUGUCGGCUCCAUAGCUAGAUGUUCUUGCAGCUCUACUUCCACUUUUUUUUCCAAAGUAUUUAGUUCCAUUUUCUUCAAUAUAUAUAUGACUGUUCACAGCUAGGUACUCUAAAAUGGACUCCAGCUAGAACAUUCUAAUGGGUUGUCCUUUCAGUUUUUUAGACGAGGAAAUCUUUACCAACAAUUCACAAUUGAAAGCUCUAAUUAGGUGGUGCAUUCUGCCUUAAUUAGCAAGGUUAUCUCUUUUAGUUAGAGGACUGCGUGGGUCAAAAAGAAUCUAUUUUCCCUGUAAUUUACUUUACCGAUUCAGUUGUUGAAGAUCAUCAUCACAUGUGAUGCUGAAGGGAUUCCUUCAAUGCGUGCGAAAAACGUUGUGUAUAAAGAUGUGCUUUCCUAUGAAUUGGAUGUGAAUUCCUUCGAUAUGAAGAUCAUUGCUA